CGAGGUAUAGCAUAUAUAAUGCCUUUUACUUACACUAAAAAUAAAGUUUAUUAACUUACUUCGC
Molecule: transfer RNA, 64 nt
Filed under: Pithemera bicincta
Lineage: Eukaryota; Metazoa; Annelida; Clitellata; Crassiclitellata; Megascolecidae
Description: tRNA-VAL
Source: RNAcentral